Molecule: long non-coding RNA, 592 nt
Organism: Lutra lutra (Eurasian river otter)
Lineage: Eukaryota; Metazoa; Chordata; Mammalia; Carnivora; Mustelidae
Exons: 3
Source: RefSeq, a predicted model, not a curated record
UAUACUUCUUUAUCUCUGAAUGUACUGCUCCUUCUUGGUUUUUCAGUUUUGGUCAUCAUCUGUUGACUUUCCACUGGAGAGGAGGAAGAUGGGACACUUCCAUCAGCGCAUGUACACAAACAUCCGUUUUCCAGUCCUCCCAAGCCAAUAGGAGGUGUAUGGUGUAAUGAUUCAUGGAUACUGGGGAAGGAUCACCACACUUCCUGUCUUGCUGGUGCCUGGUCUACCAGUUGUACUAAUGGGGUACUGAUGGAGCCCAGAAAGCAAGAGAUUCCUCUUCCCAAGAAAGGAUUUACAGCAGCUCUGUUCCAUCGAACUUUCUGCAAUGAAGGAAGUGUCCUGGGUCUGUUCUGUCCAAGGUGAUAGCCACUAGCCACAUGUUGCUAGCUAUGAAGCCCUUGAAAUGUGCCUGGUGAGACUGAAUAAUUGAAUUCGACUUAGGUUUAAUGAAUUAAAACUAAAAUUAAAAUAGCCACAUGUAGCUGGUAGCUGCCACGUAAGGAGUGGAGAUUUGAAGCCACCAGAGUUGGAAGUUGAUAGAAAGGGGAGGAGAUGGGGGGCACGCCAUCCACGUGGCUGCAACCAGCCUGAG